AACGUAGGAGACAAACGUUAUCCGGAGUUACUGGGCGUAAAGCGCGUGUAGGCGGGUUGCCAAGUCCGCUGUGAAAGCCCGAGGCUCAACCUCGGAGGGUCGGUGGAUACUGGCAGUCUUGAAGGUGCUAGGGGGAGAUGGGAUUACCGGUGUAGCGGUGAAAUGCGUAGAGAUCGGUAGGAACACCAGUGGCGAAGGCGGUCUCCUGGGGCAUUCUUGACGCUGAGACGCGAAAGCUGGGGGAGCGAACGGG
RNAcentral lists this ribosomal RNA (253 nucleotides) under uncultured bacterium. RNAcentral's name for it is "partial 16S ribosomal RNA". It matches the Rfam family "Bacterial small subunit ribosomal RNA", at positions 524 to 776 of the family's 1533-position model. The record is from RNAcentral.